AGAACGUCCACACAAGCGCCUAGCUUCAACGUGUCGAUUGGGCAAGUCUCUGGCUUAGGUGGAGUUGGUGUUGGCGGUGUUACGACCGGUGGGCUUGGUGUUGGUGGCGUAACAACAGGUGGCGGUGGGCACGGUGAUGGCGGUGGCGGUGGGCACGGUGAUGGCGGCGUUACGACGGGUGGAGGCGUAUGAGUGGGUGGUUUAGGGGUGGACGGAGGUGGUUUAACAGUGGGCGGUUUCGUGGGUGGUUUCGGGGUAGACGGAGGAGGUUUAACGGUGGGCGGUUUCGUGGGUGGUUUCGGGGUGGACGGAGGUGGUUUAACGGUGGGCGGUUUCGUGGGUGGUUUCGGGGUGGGAUGAGGUUUGGUAGGGGGUUUCGGAUGUGGGUGUGGUUUGACAGUGGGCGGUUUGGUAGGGGGUUUAGGGUGUGGGUGUGGUUUGACGGUGGGUGGUUUGGGAGGUUUUACUGCCGGUGGUUUAGGCGGUUUGCUAGGAUGUUUAGGCGGUUUGUGGGGGUGAGGUGAUGGUUUAGGAGGGCUACAGUCGCAAGCGAAGGAGACGGCAAGAAAGCCAAGGAAGAGGAAGAUAAGAAAAGAGAGGUUUUGUGUACGAGACCCCAUUUUUCUAGAGUGAGGGUGUGGUUUACCCAAAGGACUGAGUAAGAAAGAUAUAUGAGUGUAUCAUUUUAUAGAAAGAUAUUAAAAUAUAUUUGCUAUAUAUAAUUUUCAAAUAUGCAUUUUGUGACUAGAUUAUUGAAACUGAAUUUCAGUUUUUGUUUUUGUUUUGAAAUCUAGAUUUUGUAGCAUGUGUUAAGUCACUUAGUUACAACUUACAAGUUGUCAUUU
Molecule: long non-coding RNA, 845 nt
Filed under: Brassica rapa (field mustard)
Lineage: Eukaryota; Viridiplantae; Streptophyta; Magnoliopsida; Brassicales; Brassicaceae
Description: long non-coding RNA (BRAP_LNC002077)
Source: RNAcentral